GUUUUGUUGGUGCUUUGCUAGCUCCGCCCCGCCGCGGUGGCAGUAGAUGUUCCUUAUAAAUUACACGAUUUGAAGGUUACUGCGCAUGCAUUGCUGACAGAUGCUAUAUUUUUGUAGUGGAAGCAAAUUCUGAAUCAAUAAUCAUAGUAGUGCAGUGCAUUACAUUUCUCUUUCCCGAUUUUUAUUGGAUUUGAUUUGAUAGAUCGAUCUUCCCAGCAAACACAGAAACGAUAAUGUGGAAGCUCAAGUUUGCGGAGGGAGGGAGUCCAUGGCUUCGCUCGCUCAACAAUCACGUUGGAAGACAGGUGUGGGAGUUCGAUCCUAAGCUCGGAUCACCUCAAGAUCUCCUUGAGAUUGAGAAAGCUCGCCAGAAUUUCCAUGAAAAUCGCUUUUCAACCAAACACAGCUCUGAUCUACUUAUGCGCUUGCAGUUUGCAAGAGAGAACCCAAUCCAUGAAGUCUUACCCAAAGUGGGAGUUAAAGAUAUUCAGGAUGUGACUGAAGACGUUGUGACAAAAACAUUAAGAAGGGCUGUAACUUUCCAUUCAACUCUCCAGUGUCAUGACGGACACUGGCCGGGAGACUAUGGAGGUCCUAUGUUUCUGAUGCCUGGCUUGGUAAUUACUCUGUCAAUCACUGGGGCACUCAAUGCAGUUUUAACUGAAGAGCAUAAAAAGGAAAUAUGUCGUUACCUAUAUAACCAUCAAAAUAAGGAUGGUGGGUGGGGUUUGCACAUUGAAGGUCCAAGUACCAUGUUUGGCUCUGUCUUGAGUUAUGUUACUCUGAGAUUGCUUGGUGAGGGGCCUAAUGAUGGAAAAGGGGAGAUGGAGAAGGCACGUGACUGGAUUCUAGAGCAUGGUGGUGCUACCCAUAUUACGUCAUGGGGGAAGAUGUGGCUUUCAGUACUUGGAGUGUACGAAUGGUCUGGAAAUAAUCCCCUGCCCCCUGAGAUAUGGCUCCUUCCAUACAUUCUGCCAUUUCAUCCAGGAAGGAUGUGGUGUCACUGCCGGAUGGUCUAUUUGCCAAUGUCCUACUUAUAUGGAAAGAGGUUUGUUGGCCCAAUCACACCAACAAUAUUAUCUUUGAGAAAAGAGCUAUAUACUGUACCAUAUCAUGAUAUUGACUGGGAUCAAUCUCGCAAUCUGUGUGCAAAGGAAGACUUGUACUAUCCUCACCCACUCGUGCAGGAUAUUCUUUGGGGAUCUCUACACAAUUUCCUCGAGCCAAUUCUGAUGCAUUGGCCUGGCAAAAAGCUAAGGGAGAAGGCUCUUACUUCAACAAUGGAACAUAUACAUUAUGAAGAUGAGAAUACACGAUACAUAUGCAUAGGUCCUGUAAAUAAGGUGUUAAAUAUGCUUUGCUGCUGGGUGGAAGAUCCAAAUUCUGAGGCCUUCAAGUUGCAUCUUCCAAGAGUUUAUGAUUAUCUAUGGAUUGCUGAAGAUGGAAUGAAAAUGCAGGGCUACAAUGGAAGUCAACUGUGGGAUACUGCUUUUGCUGUCCAAGCUAUUAUUUCAACUAACCUCAUUGAAGAAUUUGGUCCAACUAUAAGAAAAGCUCAUACCUAUAUUAAGAACUCCCAGGUUUUAGAAGACUGUCCAGGUGAUCUUAAUAAAUGGUAUCGUCACAUUUCAAAAGGUGCUUGGCCUUUUUCAACUGCAGAUCAUGGAUGGCCAAUUUCUGAUUGCACAGCUGAAGGACUGAAAGCUGUUCUAUCAUUAUCCAAAAUUGCACCAGAAGUAGUUGGUGAGCCAUUGGAGGUGAAGCGAUUAUAUGAUUCAGUAAAUGUCAUUCUCUCACUACAGAAUGAAGAUGGUGGUUUUGCAACAUAUGAGCUUAAACGAUCUUAUAAUUGGUUGGAGUUAAUCAAUCCGGCUGAAACAUUUGGUGACAUCGUUAUUGACUAUCCUUACGUGGAAUGUACAUCAGCCGCAAUUCAAGCUUUGGCAUCAUUUAGGAAAUUAUAUCCUGGACAUCGCCGAGAAGAAAUACAAUGUUGUAUAGAAAAAGCUGUUGCCUUCAUUGAAAAUAUACAAGCUUCAGAUGGCUCAUGGUAUGGUUCUUGGGGAGUUUGCUUCACUUAUGGUGCUUGGUUUGGGGUAAAAGGAUUGGUUGCUGCUGGAAAGAGUUUCAGUAAUUGCCCGAGCAUCCGGAAAGCUUGUGAAUUUCUGCUGUCCAAGCAGCUUCCUUCCGGUGGCUGGGGAGAGAGCUAUCUGUCCUGUCAAAACAAGGUGUAUUCAAAUCUGGAAGGCAACAAGUCUCAUGUGGUAAACACUGGGUGGGCUAUGUUGGCUCUAAUUGAUGCUGGACAGGCCAAGAGAGAUCCGACUCCACUGCACCGGGCAGCUGCAUACUUGAUAAAUUCCCAAAUGGAGAACGGUGACUUUCCCCAACAGGAAAUAAUGGGAGUCUUCAACAAGAAUUGCAUGAUCUCAUACUCUGCUUACAGAAACAUAUUCCCCAUUUGGGCGUUGGGAGAAUAUCGAUCCCAUAUAUUGCAAGCCCGUUAAUAUCGACCUAGUUAGGUGUCGUCCCAAUUAUUUCGACCUGUAGACAUUAAAAGAAAAAAUUAUUAUUACUAUUAUUAUUUCGAUCUAUUUUUCUUUUAUUUCCAUGCCUCUCUUAAAAUGCUUGUGACUAACGAGUUUAGUUGUCAGCUAAAAAGAAAGAAGAGCAAACUGGUGGAGAAUGCCUAUUUCUCAUUCGGUUAAGGAAAGAAGAAAGGAGACAAACACUCUCCCAAAACACUAAGUUGCCAUCGAAGAUAUUGGAAAUAAAGACGAGACAAUCAUCAUCGCAUUUACGAGAGACCAAGUGAAAGAAGUAUUUUUUUUUCUUUUCGUAUAUUUGACAGGUGUGGGUGGAAAGAUGAGUGGGUAUAAGAAGCAAUUUCCAAACCUCCUGUUGGAACUUGACCACACAAUGUAGUGUCAAAUUCUGAACUCGGGGAAUUUCGUACAAUGUAACACUUAGGCAAUGUUUGUUUCAAUGGAUGACACUAUUAAAGCA
This is an RNA transcript of Vigna radiata var. radiata (mung bean), 3006 nucleotides long. It is a transcript of the gene named cycloartenol synthase, with no coding region annotated. The record is from RefSeq and is a predicted model, not a curated record. The transcript has 20 exons. Lineage: Eukaryota; Viridiplantae; Streptophyta; Magnoliopsida; Fabales; Fabaceae.